This 480-nucleotide ribosomal RNA is filed under the name uncultured bacterium. RNAcentral's name for it is "bacterial SSU rRNA". It matches the Rfam family "Bacterial small subunit ribosomal RNA", at positions 28 to 507 of the family's 1533-position model. The record is from RNAcentral.
GAUGAACGCUGGCGGCGUGCUUAACACAUGCAAGUCGAACGAAGCACUUUAUUACGAUUUCUUCGGAAUGACGAUUUAGUGACUGAGUGGCGGACGGGUGAGUAACGCGUGGGUAACCUGCCUUAUACAGGGGGAUAACAGUUGGAAACGACUGCUAAUACCGCAUAAGCGCACGGUAUCGCAUGAUACAGUGUGAAAAACUCCGGUGGUAUAAGAUGGACCCGCGUCUGAUUAGCUAGUUGGUGAGGUAACGGCCCACCAAGGCGACGAUCAGUAGCCGGCCUGAGAGGGUGAACGGCCACAUUGGGACUGAGACACGGCCCAGACUCCUACGGGAGGCAGCAGUGGGGGAUAUUGCACAAUGGGGGAAACCCUGAUGCAGCGACGCCGCGUGGAGGAAGAAGGUUUUCGGAUUGUAAACUCCUGUCGUUAGGGACGAUAAUGACGGUACCUAACAAGAAAGCACCGGCUAACUACGUG